Non-coding RNA from Salmo salar (Atlantic salmon), 980 nucleotides. The record is from RefSeq and is a predicted model, not a curated record. NCBI's taxonomy places the organism in Eukaryota, Metazoa, Chordata, Actinopteri, Salmoniformes, Salmonidae.
UAACUUGGGUCAAAUGUUUCAGGUAGCCUUCCACAAGCUUCCCACAAUACAUUGGGUGAAUUUUGGCCCAUUCCUCCUGACAGAGCUGGUGUAAAUGAGUCAGGGGAUGGAGCUGGAGAGCACCAGGCUGGUGAUCAGGUACCCAGACCACUAGAUACAGGGAACCCAUCCCUCUCCUCAGAGGACCAACCCUAUAGGCCUUAACACCUCAGCCUCCCAGUACGCCUCCACAGGGACCAGGAGGAUGGCUCCCAUCAAUGGUGACGAGUGUUUCUUCUGGAGGACCACCGGCUGUUUCUAUGGUGACAAUUGUCGCUUCAAACACAAGCCGGACCAGAGAGGAAGAGACAGGAAACCAUGUCAACCCUGUCCACCAUGACAACCCUGUCCACCACGCAGUGACUGGAUAUGAGAGAGGGAGGAGAAUGAUGAAGAUUAAGGAAGAGGAUGAGGGACUUUGUCCCUACUUUAAAAGGGAACAGGGGGUUUGGGGGGGUGUCACCCUGUUUGUAGUCCUCUGGCACAGACCACAGAUCCCAGACGGAACACUAGACAUAUAUAAUGAGCGUGUGAAGUGUCAAUCAAAGUGAAGAGGAGUGCAACUCUGAUUUCCCUCUCUCUCGGCCUGAGCUGUAAAACAUGGAAAUUACAUCAUCAUUAGAACCUUGAAGGGAUCUUUGCCCAGUGAACCUCCUCUAUGAUGACCAUGUUGUAAACACUAAGGGGGCUGACAUCUGUUGUAUCAUGUGUUUAACUGUGUAUGCAAGCUCAGCAAAAAAAGAAACGUCCUCUCACUGUCAACUGCGUUUAUUUUCAGCAAACUUAACGUGUAAAUAUUUGUAUGAACAUAACAAGAUUCAACAACAGAGACAUAAACUGAACAAGUUCCACAGUCAUGUGACUAACAGAAAUGGAAUAAUGUGUCCCUGAUCAAAGUGGGGGUGAAGAUCAAAAGUAACAGUCAGUAUCUGGAGUGGCCA